GUCAGAAAUAGACUGCUAAUACCGCAUAAGACCACAGCACCGCAUGGUGCAGGGGUAAAAACGUACCGGUGGUACAGGAUGACCCGCGUCUGAUUAGCUGGUUGGUGAGGUAACGGCUCACCAAGGCGACGAUCAGUAGCCGGCUUGAGAGAGUGAACGGCCACAUUGGGACUGAGACACGGCCCAAACUCCUACGGGAGGCAGCAUG
RNAcentral lists this ribosomal RNA (208 nucleotides) under uncultured bacterium. RNAcentral describes it as "partial 16S ribosomal RNA". It matches the Rfam family "Bacterial small subunit ribosomal RNA", at positions 149 to 353 of the family's 1533-position model. The record is from RNAcentral.